This 683-nucleotide ribosomal RNA is filed under the name uncultured bacterium. Its description in RNAcentral is "bacterial SSU rRNA". It matches the Rfam family "Bacterial small subunit ribosomal RNA", at positions 1 to 663 of the family's 1533-position model. The record is from RNAcentral.
GGCUUAGAGUUUGAUCAUGGCUCAGGACGAACGCUGGCGGCGUGCUUAACACAUGCAAGUCGAACGGGGUGUUUAUUUCGGUAAACACCAAGUGGCGAACGGGUGAGUAACGCGUAAGCAAUCUACCUUCAAGAUGGGGACAACACUUCGAAAGGGGUGCUAAUACCGAAUGAAUGUAAGAGUAUCGCAUGAGACACUUACUAAAGGAGGCCUCUGACAUAAGCUUCCGCUUGAAGAUGAGCUUGCGUCUGAUUAGCUAGUUGGUGAGGGUAAAGGCCCACCAAGGCGACGAUCAGUAGCCGGUCUGAGAGGAUGAACGGCCACAUUGGGACUGAGACACGGCCCAGACUCCUACGGGAGGCAGCAGUGGGGAAUCUUCCGCAAUGGGCGAAAGCCUGACGGAGCAACGCCGCGUGAGCGAUGAAGGUCUUAGGAUCGUAAAGUUCUGUUGUUAGGGACGAAGGGUAAGAAUCAUAAUAAGGUUUUUAUUUGACGGUACCUAACGAGGAAGCCACGGCUAACUACGUGCCAGCAGCCGCGGUAAUACGUAGGCGGCAAGCGUUGUCCGGAAUUAUUGGGCGUAAAGGGAGCGCAGGCGGGAAACUAAGCGGAUCUUAAAAGUGCGGGGCUCAACCCCGUGAGGGGGUUCGAACUGGUUUUCUUGAGUGCAGGAGAGGAAAGCG